UUUAUGGAGAGUUUGAUCCUGGCUCAGGAUGAACGCUGGCGGCGUGCCUAAUACAUGCAAGUCGAGCGAACAGACGAGGAGCUUGCUCCUCUGACGUUAGCGGCGGACGGGUGAGUAACACGUGGAUAACCUACCUAUAAGACUGGGAUAACUUCGGGAAACCGGAGCUAAUACCGGAUAAUAUAUUGAACCGC
This 194-nucleotide ribosomal RNA is filed under the name Staphylococcus epidermidis. Its description in RNAcentral is "partial 16S ribosomal RNA". It matches the Rfam family "Bacterial small subunit ribosomal RNA", at positions 1 to 189 of the family's 1533-position model. The record is from RNAcentral. Lineage: Bacteria; Bacillati; Bacillota; Bacilli; Caryophanales; Staphylococcaceae.